Long non-coding RNA from Zea mays, 846 nucleotides. RefSeq lists it as uncharacterized. The transcript is spliced from 5 exons. The record is from RefSeq and is a predicted model, not a curated record. NCBI's taxonomy places the organism in Eukaryota, Viridiplantae, Streptophyta, Magnoliopsida, Poales, Poaceae.
UCUUUCCGCACAGAGGGUAGACGUUAACUGUCGAUGCUUAGAGUUCAGAUCUUCCUAGGCAUGUGUGUGGACCUACAAAAUUUUUGUGAUCUUGAACUUUCCAGCUUCCUUCUGCUUGUGGGCACAAACCCUCCAAUUGCAAUCCGACACCUCGCACACAACUGUGUAACAUCGCUCGACAUACGAACGUCUCACCUUGAAUGUUCUUUUAUGCUUCACUGAGUAUUCCUAUAGCUAUCGUUCAGCUCCUGGUGGUGCUACGGGGGUGACUGCGGGGGCGACUGCGGCUGGUGGCUGUUGUCCUCAUCGACCAUCUCGGCGACGUCCUACUCGAGCGAGAUCUCGCUGCAGUCCCUCGAGAUCUGCAGAACUAAUAUGUUGCAGGAGGAGAUUGACAAGGAGAUUGAGGACAAGAAGACAGAGCUGGAGCCCAAGGUCGUGGAGGCCUACGAAGCAUCUCCUCCUGAGGUCAAGGCUCUGUUCAAGGAUAAGAAGCCAGUCAAGGUCAUCAAGAAGAACUCGGCUGCAGUCACCAAGUUCCUCGAUGAGCUGGCUAAGAUUGGCCGCACUUGAAGAAAUCUUAUAUCAGUUUGAGGAAAAACUCCAAGCUGAAAAAGUGGAAGCUGCUAGGAAGCAGGAAGAGUUGCAAUCUGUUUGAUGCCUUUUCUAGAACAUAUCUGUGGUUAGAACUUUGUCAGAACUACGUGCAAUCUGUUUCAAUGCUUCAAACCUUUGUGGUGGAACCUUUGUAUGUUUGAACCUCUGUUGUGGAAGAACUAGUGUGCUGGAAUUGUGUAUGACUUGUGAUGAGAAUGUUGUGUAUGAUAGCUUUUCUGUGUAUUAUGA